This 107-nucleotide ribosomal RNA is filed under the name Podocarpus macrophyllus. Lineage: Eukaryota; Viridiplantae; Streptophyta; Pinopsida; Araucariales; Podocarpaceae. The record is from RNAcentral.
ACGGGCAGGUAAGACGUGAAACACCCGAUCCCAUUCCGACCUCGAUACGUGAAAUCGUCUUGCGCCAUAUGUACUGCUGAAGCGGGAGACAUGGUCAAAGCCCGGUU